UAAAAUUUAUAAAAUUAGGUAGUAAAGGAAUUUCUGAAACCUAAAGAAUUUGGCGGUAUUUUAAAUAAUUGGAGGAACCUGUUAUUUAAUUGACAAUCCACAACAUAUCUCACCUAAAUUUUAUUUGUAUAUCGUCGUUUAAAUUAUAUUAAAAAAUUAUAAUUAAAUUUAAAAAAAUUUUAAAAUUCAGAUCAAGGUGCAGUAUAUUUAGGAUAUAAUGGGUUACAAUAUAAUAUAUAUAUAAUGAAUAUAAAUUUGAAAUUAUAUUGAAAGUGGAUUCAAAAGUAAAAUUAAAUUAAAAUGUUAAUUUGAUUUAUAAUUUAAAAUAUGC
RNAcentral lists this ribosomal RNA (331 nucleotides) under Syntropis macrura. RNAcentral's name for it is "partial 12S ribosomal RNA". The record is from RNAcentral. Lineage: Eukaryota; Metazoa; Arthropoda; Arachnida; Scorpiones; Vaejovidae.